GACGAACGCUGGCGGCGUGCUUAACACAUGCAAGUCGAACGGAAAGGCCUCUUUCGGGGGGUACUCGAGUGGCGAACGGGUGAGUAACACGUGAGUAACCUGCCCUUGACUUUGGGAUAACUUCAGGAAACUGGGGCUAAUACCGGAUAGGAGCUCCUGCUGCAUGGUGGGGGUUGGAAAGUUUCGGCGGUUGGCGAUGGACUCGCGGCUUAUCAGCUUGUUGGUGGGGUAGUGGCUUACCAAGGCUUUGACGGGUAGCCGGCCUGAGAGGGUGACCGGCCACAUUGGGACUGAGAUACGGCCCAGACUCCUACGGGAGGCAGCAGUGGGGAAUAUUGCACAAUGGGUGGAAGCCUGAUGCAGCAACGCCGUGUGCGGGAUGACGGCCUUCGGGUUGUAAACCGCUUUCGCUCAUGACGAAGCUUUGUGUGACGGUAGUGGGUAAAGAAGCACCGGCUAACUACGUG
This 467-nucleotide ribosomal RNA is filed under the name uncultured bacterium. RNAcentral describes it as "partial 16S ribosomal RNA". It matches the Rfam family "Bacterial small subunit ribosomal RNA", at positions 28 to 507 of the family's 1533-position model. The record is from RNAcentral.